Long non-coding RNA from Talpa occidentalis (Iberian mole), 386 nucleotides. RefSeq lists it as uncharacterized. Lineage: Eukaryota; Metazoa; Chordata; Mammalia; Eulipotyphla; Talpidae. The transcript has 3 exons. The record is from RefSeq and is a predicted model, not a curated record.
AAGAACCUGAGUAUGACCAACUGUGAUGGAGAGUCAUCCAGUUAAUAGGUCAAGAUUUCAGCUGGAAGCAGUGUGGCCUUGAAGCCACAUUUUGCAACAUGGAUAAACCAGAGCACCCCCUAGUGUUAAUUGAAUUCACUGCUCCUCCUUCAAUUUAUUAUUCAGAAAGGGACUUCUGAGUUUGCAUGAGAGAUAUACAGACUGAAGAGUACAGGAAGACUGCCGGAUAGCUGAUCCUGAGGAUAAUACUGAAACUCACCAGCCUGGUCUGGGUGGAACCCCAGGCCACAGUGGUUGGUCCUGACCACCCAGAAAUGUUUGGUGAAUGAAGAACUGGGUAUUCUGAAUUACCUGCCUGGAAAAUGUUUAGAAGAAGGAAAUUUCAG